GGCGCGACCUGGGCUACGGCAUCGGAGCCCUCGGCCUUGGGCUGGCGGCUCACCUCAGCGGCGAGAUGGAGACGGCGUUCGGGUUCGUCGCCGUGUCG
Molecule: transfer RNA, 98 nt
Filed under: compost metagenome
Description: tRNA-Pro
Source: RNAcentral